RNAcentral lists this signal recognition particle RNA (301 nucleotides) under Saimiri boliviensis boliviensis (Bolivian squirrel monkey). RNAcentral describes it as "Metazoan signal recognition particle RNA (ENSSBOG00000015565.1)". It matches the Rfam family "Metazoan signal recognition particle RNA". Rfam says of the family: The signal recognition particle (SRP) is a universally conserved ribonucleoprotein. It is involved in the co-translational targeting of proteins to membranes. The record is from RNAcentral. Lineage: Eukaryota; Metazoa; Chordata; Mammalia; Primates; Cebidae.
GCCGGGUGCGGCAGUGUGUGCCUAUAGUCCCAGUUACUCGGGAGGCUGAGGUGGGAGGAUUGCUUGAGUCCAGGAGUUCUGGGCUGUAGUGCGCGCUGUGCCGAUUGGGUGUCCACACUAAGUUUAGCAUCAAUAUGGUGACCUCCCAGGAGCGGCAGACCACCAGGUUGCCUAAGGAGGGGUGAAUUGGUACAGGUCGGAAAUGGAGCAGGUCAAAACCCCCGUGCUGAUCAGUAGUGGAAUUGGACCUGUGAAUAACCACUGUACUCUAGCCUGGGCAACAUAGCGAGACCCCGUCUCU